This 201-nucleotide long non-coding RNA is filed under the name Mytilus galloprovincialis (Mediterranean mussel). Lineage: Eukaryota; Metazoa; Mollusca; Bivalvia; Mytilida; Mytilidae. The record is from RNAcentral.
GUGGUAUGAUUGCCAAUGAGACAACUAUCCACAAAAGACCAAAAGGACACAGACAUUUACAACUAUAGGUCACCGAUUAGACAUUUAAACGAGAAAACCAACUCCUUAUUUAUGUAAAAAAAAAAAAAAAAAAAAAAAAAAAAAAAAAAAUGAACGAAAAACAAACGUGUAUCACAUAAACAAACGACAACUGAACCACAG